UACGUAGGUGGCAAGCGUUGUCCGGAUUUAUUGGGCGUAAAGCGCGCGCAGGUGGUUUCUUAAGUCUGAUGUGAAAGCCCACGGCUCAACCGUGGAGGGUCAUUGGAAACUGGGAGACUUGAGUGCAGAAGAGGAUAGUGGAAUUCCAAGUGUAGUGUGGUAAA
This 164-nucleotide ribosomal RNA is filed under the name uncultured bacterium. RNAcentral describes it as "partial 16S ribosomal RNA". It matches the Rfam family "Bacterial small subunit ribosomal RNA", at positions 524 to 685 of the family's 1533-position model. The record is from RNAcentral.